AGCGAACGCUGGCGGCAGGCCUAACACAUGCGAGUCGAACGAACUCUUCGGAGUUAGUGGCGGACGGGUGAGUAACACGUGGGAACGUGCCUUUAGGUUCGGAAUAACUUAGGGAAACUUGUGCUAAUACCGAAUGUGCCCUUCGGGGGAAAGAUUUAUCGCCUUUAGAGCGGCCCGCGUCUGAUUAGCUAGUUGGUGAGGUAAAGGCUCACCAAGGCGACGAUCAGUAGCUGGUCUGAGAGGAUGAUCAGCCACAUUGGGACUGAGACACGGCCCAAACUCCUACGGGAGGCAGCAGUGGGGAAUCUUGCGCAAUGGGCGAAAGCCUGACGCAGCCAUGCCGCGUGAAUGAUGAAGGUCUUAGGAUUGUAAAAUUCUUUCACCGGGGACGAUAAUGACGGUACCCGGAGAAGAAGCCCCGGCUAACUUCGUG
RNAcentral lists this ribosomal RNA (433 nucleotides) under uncultured bacterium. RNAcentral describes it as "partial 16S ribosomal RNA". It matches the Rfam family "Bacterial small subunit ribosomal RNA", at positions 29 to 507 of the family's 1533-position model. The record is from RNAcentral.